Molecule: ribosomal RNA, 467 nt
Filed under: uncultured bacterium
Lineage: Bacteria
Description: partial 16S ribosomal RNA
Rfam family: Bacterial small subunit ribosomal RNA
Source: RNAcentral
ACGAACGCGGGAGGAGGGAGGACCACAUGCAAGUCGAACGGAAAGGCCCUGAUUUUGUGGGGUGCUCGAGUGGCGCACGGGUGAGUAACACGUGAGUAACCUGCCCUUGACUUUGGGAUAACUUCAGGAAACUGGGGCUAAUACCGGAUAGGAGCUCCUGCUGCAUGAUGGGGGUUGGAAAGUUUCGGCGGUUGGGGAUGGACUCGCGGCUUAUCAGCUUGUUGGUGGGGUAGUGGCUUACCAAGGCUUUGACGGGUAGCCGGCCUGAGAGGGUGACCGGCCACAUUGGGACUGAGAUACGGCCCAGACUCCUACGGGAGGCAGCAGUGGGGAAUAUUGCACAAUGGGCGGAAGCCUGAUGCAGCAACGCCGCGUGCGGGAUGACGGCCUUCGGGUUGUAAACCGCUUUCGCCUGUGACGAAGCGUGAGUGACGGUAAUGGGUAAAGAAGCACCGGCUCCCUACGUC